UUGUGUAUGGAAGAAUUAGAAC
Molecule: unclassified non-coding RNA, 22 nt
Filed under: Mus musculus (house mouse)
Lineage: Eukaryota; Metazoa; Chordata; Mammalia; Rodentia; Muridae
Description: oocyte_clustered_small_RNA12841
Source: RNAcentral